UCCUCAAGAUAGCACAGGAUGUCCAGGGA
RNAcentral lists this non-coding RNA (29 nucleotides) under Rattus norvegicus (Norway rat). Lineage: Eukaryota; Metazoa; Chordata; Mammalia; Rodentia; Muridae. The record is from RNAcentral.